GAAUCUAUUGCUGAUGAUCUCUCAAAAUCAACAAUCUUUGGCUCGUGACAAAUCAGAUGGUAGUGAACAGUCAAGUAAAAGAUGAUAUCCGAUAACGGUUUACUAGUAUAUCGAACAGGAUAAAAUUUGGAAAUCUACCAGCAAGAGAAAAGAUACCACGAAACGUUAAAAAACCAGCAUCAGGAAAUGUUCUACAGGUAUUGUUACAAAAUAAUCAUAGGCUUCAUAAAGGACGAAAAUAAUCACACGGAAAUAGUUGGACAAUCACAGAUGGAACAAGAACAACUUUUGUUUAAAGAUUAUCGCCCUUCUACAGUCUUGUUGAAGCAUUUAUCAGACCCAGACAUUAUAUGUAUUUUGCAUUAGCUACUUUACAACAAUAACAUAAAUUAAAACUCUCUACGGUAUUUCUGAAUUCACUUCUUGCUAAAUAUUCUCGAACAAAUAGAAAACUCAGAAGGUGAAAAGAACGAACUGAAAAUCAACCUUUUAUUGUGAGAAAUAUAAUGCAAUAGCUUCGUUCAAAUGUUUACAACUUUCCACAGAAGAUGAGCCAGUUGUUGACCAACCUAACAGUUAUCAAGUAGACAUUCCAGUGAAACAGAAUCCACUAAUUAGUAGCUCGACCAGCAAAUCUAUGACAUAUCGUGACAUAUUCCAAAAGAAGCUGAUGUAUCUAGGUCUUAGAAAUAAAUUGCAAUAAAAAAACCACGAACAGACUGCUUUCAACUUAGACAAAUGUGUAUAUAUAUAUCACUCUUUUAUAGAUAGUUUGGGGGGAUUUUUCAUAUUAGAUAUUCGGUGAAAUGGGCGUCAACUGCCUAAUAGAAAAACAAUAGUAAAUAUAUAUAUAUAUAUAUAUAUAUUGGGGACUAUACACUCUAAUUCAAGUGUAGAGGACGACAAGAGGUAAGUUUCCAAUUCCAUCCAAUCAUGAUAGGUAUUUGGAUAAUUCUGAAACUGGGGUGCUCGAGGAUUCAGCAAUCUUCCUUCACUUCGCUUCCAGCUAUAGUUAAUAACUGAGCGAUAUAUAUGUAUACACACAAAUAUAUACAUACAUUUAGAUACAUUCCUACAUACGCACUUCAUGUACACCUAAACACACACAUGAAUAUGUACAUUUUAAGAAGGGUAAAAUUAUCACUUGUUUUCCCGAAGUAAUGGUUACUACUCGUGUUGACAGAAAAGAAGGAGGCAGUGAAGAAAGGGAGGCCCAGCAGUUGAAAAGUUAACAGAAACCCAACAAACGGCCCAUAUUAAACUUACAGUCCUUGAGCGAAGCGGAAAUCUAUAAAUAAUAUGCAUGAAAUGAGAUCAACAAUACCAAUAUCCGAGAAUUAAAUGUGACGGAGGUACCCACUUUCACUGGUCAGGCGCCAAAAAUUCUAUAUGGUCAGAACCCAAGAUAUUACGUAAAGGCUCAUAAAUAGAGAUUAAGUGACAUUGUUAUACUUAAUUUUCAAAAUAUGAAAGGCUGUAGUAAGCUAAAAAGUUGCCCAUACUAACUCUCCCUGUGCACUUGCUCUCGUGAAUCUUAUUUCUUUGAUAAGGUCUGGAAGAACUCGUCUAAGGGCCCUUGGAUGUAAGAACCGAAUGUGAAGUAAAGAGAAACAGUCUGUAAGCAUCCACAUCCUGACAUAAACAUAUCGAUAGAGGAUUCAAUGGGCCAAUCCCAUCAGGAAAGAAAGGAAGAGGACCAUGAAAAAAAGAGGGGUCCUAGGAUAGGGACAGACGAAGAUGUGGACCCCUAAAGGGAGAGAUCCAUGAUAAGGCACACCAAACAGCCCAAUAGGACACAGAAGCCAAGUGUGAAUGGUCCAAUGGGCGAGAGAAACAGAGAGAGAGAAGUACGGUUUACCUGCUGAGCCAUCAAAGUCCGAGGAAGAAAAGAUCAAUCUAGGGAGAGGAAAAUAUAAAUGCAGCGGAAGAGGCUGCAAGACACAUCUAAAGGAACAACAGUAGUCGAAGGAGAGAAGUAGAGAAAAUAAGUCAGGACAGAAAGAUGGUACACAUCAGUAGGUUUAAACUGAGGAAUUAUCUACCGUUGCUGGUUGCUAGUUGAUUCACUGAACGGGUUUCUAUAGGAUGUCUAGCAUAUUGAUAACACAGGCCUGCAAUGAUAAAAAUUGAGAUUUGUACAUUGUCUACAAUAACGCAUACGUUGAAUCCGAAAAUGAUAUCCAUUUUUCUCCAUCUCGUACAGAUUUUUCACAA
This 2214-nucleotide long non-coding RNA is filed under the name Limulus polyphemus (Atlantic horseshoe crab). Its description in RNAcentral is "uncharacterized LOC111086296". Lineage: Eukaryota; Metazoa; Arthropoda; Merostomata; Xiphosura; Limulidae. The record is from RNAcentral.